Molecule: ribosomal RNA, 119 nt
Filed under: Pteropus alecto (black flying fox)
Lineage: Eukaryota; Metazoa; Chordata; Mammalia; Chiroptera; Pteropodidae
Source: RNAcentral
AUUUAUGGCCAUGCUACCCUGAACAAGCCCAAUCCUGUCUGAUCUCAGAAGCUAAGCAGGGUCAAGUGUGUUUAGUACUUGGAUGGGAGACCACCUAAGAAGACCAGGUGCUGUAGGCA